RNAcentral lists this ribosomal RNA (274 nucleotides) under uncultured bacterium. RNAcentral describes it as "partial 16S ribosomal RNA". It matches the Rfam family "Bacterial small subunit ribosomal RNA", at positions 523 to 796 of the family's 1533-position model. The record is from RNAcentral.
AUACGGAGGGUGCAAGCGUUAUUCGGAAUCACUGGGCGUAAAGGACGCGUAGGCGGGUUGGCAAGUCGGAUGUGAAAUCCUACAGCUUAACUGUAGAACUGCAUUUGAAACUGCUAACCUAGAGUAUGGGAGGGGGAGAUGGAAUUAGUGGUGUAGGGGUAAAAUCCGUAGAUAUCACUAGGAAUACCGAAAGCGAAGGCGAUCUCCUGGAACAUAACUGACGCUAAGGCGUGAAAGCGUGGGGAGCAAACAGGAUUAGAUACCCUAGUAGUCC